This 468-nucleotide ribosomal RNA is filed under the name uncultured bacterium. RNAcentral describes it as "partial 16S ribosomal RNA". It matches the Rfam family "Bacterial small subunit ribosomal RNA", at positions 28 to 507 of the family's 1533-position model. The record is from RNAcentral.
GACGAACGCUGGCGGCGUGCUUAACACAUGCAAGUCGAACGGAAAGGCCCUGCUUUUGUGGGGUGCUCGAGUGGCGAACGGGUGAGUAACACGUGAGUAACCUGCCCUUGACUUUGGGAUAACUUCAGGAAACUGGGGCUAAUACCGGAUAGGAGCUCCUGCUGCAUGGUGGGGGUUGGAAAGUUUCGGCGGUUGGGGAUGGACUCGCGGCUUAUCAGCUUGUUGGUGGGGUAGUGGCUUACCAAGGCUUUGACGGGUAGCCGUCCUGAGAGGGUGACCGGCCACAUUGGGACUGAGAUACGGCCCAGACUCCUACGGGAGGCAGCAGUGGGGAAUAUUGCACAAUGGGCGGAAGCCUGAUGCAGCAACGCCGCGUGCGGGAUGACGGCCUUCGGGUUGUAAACCGCUUUCGCCUGUGACGAAGCGUGAGUGACGGCAAUGGGUAAAGAAGCACCGGCUAACUACGUG